Molecule: long non-coding RNA, 635 nt
Organism: Pogoniulus pusillus (Red-fronted tinkerbird)
Lineage: Eukaryota; Metazoa; Chordata; Aves; Piciformes; Lybiidae
Exons: 2
Source: RefSeq, a predicted model, not a curated record
CUGGGUUCUGUUGGAGUCUCCUCCCACCCCAGGUGUGAGCACUUGGCUCUCCCUGCCCACUCCCUAUUUAAUGGGCCCCAGAAAAGGCAGUGCCUAAGCUUGCCCAGCUGGGCAGAGGGAUCCUCCUGAUCCUGUCAUCUCUGCUUAAUAGGGGCAGGCUCCUGAUACCAUAUGUGUUCUGUGGAACCAAGGGAACAUGAAGAGUAGAUGAACAAUGCCUCAAAGACUUCAUAACAAGAUGGUUUAGAUAUGGCUAUGUUUACUAGUCUGCUGAUAAGUUUUAAAGAUAAAUGGAAUCCAAUAUUGUAAUCAUUCUUAAGCAUGUACACUUGUUAUGUGCAUUUUCUUUGUUUCUCCCUUUUUCCCCUUCCUUUUUCAACAAAAGAAAUUAAUCAGUCCUACAAAAACAUUUGUAACACCCAAACCAUCACAGGCAGCAUUAUCAUGUUGUAGUUCCAAGACUGUAAGCAUUUGCAGCACUGUCUUUCAUGUCUAGUAGAUAUUUAGCUUGCAUUUAAAGGAUUUUUCAUCUUCAAAUAGGCAGUUACAGUUUAAAGCUGUUCUUGUUAUAUUGUGUCUAUGUAAUCCAGAGCUUCGCUGGAAAAUCAUAGCAAAAUAAAUGCAUUUCCUAAUUA